GAUGAACGCUGGCGGCGUGCCUAAUACAUGCAAGUCGAGCGAACAGACGAGGAGCUUGCUCCUCUGACGUUAGCGGCGGACGGGUGAGUAACACGUGGAUAACCUACCUAUAAGACUGGGAUAACUUCGGGAAACCGGAGCUAAUACCGGAUAAUAUAUUGAACCGCAUGGUUCAAUAGUGAAAGACGGUUUUGCUGUCACUUAUAGAUGGAUCCGCGCCGCAUUAGCUAGUUGGUAAGGUAACGGCUUACCAAGGCAACGAUGCGUAGCCGACCUGAGAGGGUGAUCGCCCACACUGGAACUGAGACACGGUCCAGACUCCUACGGGAGGCAGCAGUAGGGAAUCUUCCGCAAUGGGCGAAAGCCUGACGGUGCAACGCCGCGUGAGUGAUGAAGGUCUUCGGAUCGUAAAACUCUGUUAUUAGGGAAGAACAAAUGUGUAAGUAACUAUGCACGUCUUGACGGUACCUAAUCAGAAAGCCACGGCUAACUACGUG
This 497-nucleotide ribosomal RNA is filed under the name uncultured bacterium. RNAcentral's name for it is "partial 16S ribosomal RNA". It matches the Rfam family "Bacterial small subunit ribosomal RNA", at positions 28 to 507 of the family's 1533-position model. The record is from RNAcentral.